Molecule: ribosomal RNA, 445 nt
Filed under: uncultured bacterium
Lineage: Bacteria
Description: partial 16S ribosomal RNA
Rfam family: Bacterial small subunit ribosomal RNA
Source: RNAcentral
GUAGGGAAUAUUGGGCAAUGGAUGCAAGUCUGACCCAGCCAUCCCGCGUGCCGGAAGAAGGCCCUCAGGGUUAUAAACGGCUUUUGACGGUGAAGAAUCGACAGGAUGCGUCCUGUUUUGACGGUAGCCGUUGAAUAAGCACCGGCUAACUCCGUGCCAGCAGCCGCGGUAAUACGGAGGGUGCGAGCGUUGUCCGGAUUUAUUGGGUUUAAAGGGUGCGUAGGCUGGAAGGUCAGUCAGCGGUGAAAAGCUGUCGCUUAACGAUAGUCUUGCCGCAGAUACUUCCUUUCUUGGAUGAGGAGGAGGCCACUGGAACGGAUGGUGUAGCGGUGAAAUGCAUAGAUAUCAUCCAGAACACCGAUUGCGAAGGCAGGUGGCUGUACCUUAAUCGACGCUGAUGCACGAAAGCAUGGGGAGCAAACAGGAUUAGAAACCCCGGUAGUCC